Molecule: RNase P RNA, 314 nt
Filed under: Helobdella robusta
Lineage: Eukaryota; Metazoa; Annelida; Clitellata; Rhynchobdellida; Glossiphoniidae
Description: nuclear RNase P
Rfam family: Nuclear RNase P
About the family: Ribonuclease P (RNase P) is a ubiquitous endoribonuclease, found in archaea, bacteria and eukarya as well as chloroplasts and mitochondria. Its best characterised activity is the generation of mature 5'-ends of tRNAs by cleaving the 5'-leader elements of precursor-tRNAs.
Source: Rfam by way of RNAcentral
UCGGUUGUAAUGCUCGCCUUAGGGGCAACAAGCGAGUGCGUGUCACUCACGGUGCCUUUGGGAAGGUCUGAGAUUUGGGCUAACUUACGUCCUUGCAGGACGCAGCUGUAAAUUAACGGUUGGCGAGGUUAUCAGAAAUAGUCCUGAGGGCCAUGAUUUGGCGCGAGAACGUUUACGCUCGUCGUAAAUGCGAUGCCGCGAAUUGUUUCGCUGUGGCCUUGUCAAGGUUGGAAGAAUCUCGCAGUCGGCUUUGCAAAGUUCGAUAGGUGAGGUGAACGUUGUUCAUAACUCGAUUCAGACUACUCUACGACCGG